CCUACGGGUGGCUGCAGUGGGGAAUAUUGGACAAUGGGCGGAAGCCUGAUCCAGCAACGCCGCGUGAGGGAUGACGGCCUUCGGGUUGUAAACCUCUUUCAUCAUCGACGAAGCUCAAUGUUUAGUUGGGUGACGGUAGGUGGAGAAGAAGCACCGGCCAACUACGUGCCAGCAGCCGCGGUAAUACGUAGGGUGCGAGCGUUGUCCGGAAUUAUUGGGCGUAAAGGGCUCGUAGGCGGUUUGUCGCGUCGGGAGUGAAAACACUGGGCUUAACCGAGUGCUUGCUUUCGAUACGGGCAGACUUGAGGCAUUGAGGGGAGAACGGAAUUCCUGGUGUAGCGGUGAAAUGCGCAGAUAUCAGGAGGAACACCGGUGGCGAAGGCGGUUCUCUGGCAAUGUUCUGACGCUGAGGAGCGAAAGUGUGGGGAGCGA
Molecule: ribosomal RNA, 432 nt
Filed under: uncultured bacterium
Lineage: Bacteria
Description: bacterial SSU rRNA
Rfam family: Bacterial small subunit ribosomal RNA
Source: RNAcentral